Long non-coding RNA from Chelonus insularis, 1057 nucleotides. RefSeq lists it as uncharacterized. The record is from RefSeq and is a predicted model, not a curated record. Lineage: Eukaryota; Metazoa; Arthropoda; Insecta; Hymenoptera; Braconidae. The transcript has 6 exons.
AGAGAGCAGAACGAUGCCGGCUGGCAAGCAGAUGGCUGCUCCGUUUAUUGGUUUAUUCGUCGGUAACGGCAACGUGUCCCGCCCGAACUAAGUUUUCUUUGUGUUGUCUAGAAUGAAUACGACCAUGGUGAAUAUCUACUGUACCCAAUCACCUCAGGAAAGAGCAUCGUACGUGCCUUGGAUACGUGUCAAUCAUCAAGAGUCAAGAGAAUCAUUGAUAGAGAUUCAUAUUAAUGAAAGACAUUUAUUCAUUUUAUUUUAAAAACCCUCACAUUGGACCCUUUCCUCUUAUUGGAAUUCAAUAAUUUAUGUGAGCAAAGAGUAACAAGUAACGAGGAAUAUUACAUUAAAGAUAAUAAAAAAAUGUGUAAAUGGCAAACAAAAAGCUCAAUGGUAGAAAAUCCUUUAAGCCAAGUAAAAUGAGAACUUUGAAGAGGGUAAGAAGAGUCAAAAGUCAAGUGCCUGUUGAGUAAAAGGUCUUGUUGUCAUUUGGCAAAGAAUUUUGACACUUCAGCAUCCAUGUUAACGAGUUAACGUAGGCGUCCUAAGCCGAUUAAGAGUGGAUACACUUCUUGUACAACUUUGUUCAUGCAUUAAAAGACAAACAGAUUUAUGCUUAAUAUAACCAUCUGACAAAUACGUUAACAAGAUGAAGGUGUAUAAUUUCCCGUACGAAAAGCAAACGACAAAUUUAGGAUACCAAGAAAGUAAUGAAACAGUGAAGAUAAUUAUAUACUUUUCGAUAUGACGUAAAGAUGAGAAUUUAAGGAGUAUAACUCAAAACUAUCUGCGAUAUCAUCAAAAAUUUAUUCAAAAGAUGAUUUUCUCUGCAUAAAAAAGAGAUUUGUAUUUCAUUUACGUUGAUUACAGCAAUUAUUAAACUUCAUUUAAUACUUUUCUAUAAAAAUAAAAAGUACAUAAGUUUCAUUACACAGUAAAUAAAUUCUCCAGGAACGAAUUUAUUAAUCUGCAAUGCGUAAAAGUAAUUACUGUGAAUCAAUAUAGAAAGUUAGCUUGAACAAAUUAUAUAAAUUCCUACUGCUUCCAUUUAUUUUAA